Molecule: transfer RNA, 73 nt
Organism: Ipomoea nil (Japanese morning glory)
Lineage: Eukaryota; Viridiplantae; Streptophyta; Magnoliopsida; Solanales; Convolvulaceae
Rfam family: tRNA
About the family: Transfer RNA (tRNA) molecules are approximately 80 nucleotides in length. Their secondary structure includes four short double-helical elements and three loops (D, anti-codon, and T loops).
Source: Rfam
GCAGGGAUAACUUAGUUAGGAAAGCGUUCAAUUGAAGAUUUGAAGGUCACGUGUUCAAUCCAUGUUCACUGCA